CCAACACUUCGUAGGUCUUCCCUCAGGUGGGCUGGGAUUGGUUGCUGGUGCUGAGAGAAAACCCACACUACGUCCUGGCCCUGGGACUAUGCCAAUGGCUGCUGCCACUUAGUGUGGCAGAGAU
This 124-nucleotide small nucleolar RNA is filed under the name Chinchilla lanigera (long-tailed chinchilla). Its description in RNAcentral is "Small nucleolar RNA SNORA30/SNORA37 family (ENSCLAG00000018952.1)". The record is from RNAcentral. Lineage: Eukaryota; Metazoa; Chordata; Mammalia; Rodentia; Chinchillidae.